CUCAGAUUGAACGCUGGCGGCAUGCCUUACACAUGCAAGUCGAACGGCAGCGGGCCUUCGGGUGCCGGCGAGUGGCGAACGGGUGAGUAAUGCAUCGGAACGUGCCAUUGAGUGGGGGAUAACGUAGCGAAAGUUGCGCUAAUACCGCAUAUUCUGUGAGCAGGAAAGCAGGGGACCGCAAGGCCUUGCGCUCUUUGAGCGGCCGAUGUCAGAUUAGCUAGUUGGUGAGGUAAAGGCUUACCAAGGCGACGAUCUGUAGCGGGUCUGAGAGGAUGAUCCGCCACACUGGAACUGAGACACGGUCCAGACUCCUACGGGAGGCAGCAGUGGGGAAUUUUGGACAAUGGGGGCAACCCUGAUCCAGCCAUGCCGCGUGAGUGAAGAAGGCCUUCGGGUUGUAAAGCUCUUUCGGCCGGGAAGAAAUCGCAUGGGCUAAUACCCUGUGUGGAUGACGGUACCGGAACAAGAAGCACCGGCUAACUACGUG
RNAcentral lists this ribosomal RNA (487 nucleotides) under uncultured bacterium. RNAcentral describes it as "bacterial SSU rRNA". It matches the Rfam family "Bacterial small subunit ribosomal RNA", at positions 23 to 507 of the family's 1533-position model. The record is from RNAcentral.